Non-coding RNA from Pelobates cultripes (western spadefoot toad), 205 nucleotides. Lineage: Eukaryota; Metazoa; Chordata; Amphibia; Anura; Pelobatidae. The record is from the annotation of a GenBank genome assembly.
GCUGCAUAUAAAAGCCAACACUACAUACAAACACACCAUACAUUAAAGUGCAAACACUACCCACAAGUACACCACUGCAUUCCAAAAUGCUUGAAAACUGUUUUACAAAAGCCAAAGUGUCUGUUAAAGGGACACUCCAGGCACCCAGACCACUUCUGCCCAUUGAAGUGGUCUGGGUGCCAACUCCCAUCACCGCUAAUCCUGC